CUACUUACCUGGCAGGGAUGGUGCCAUGAUCAUGGAGGUGCUUUUCCCAGGAUGAGGUUCAUCCAUUGCACUUUGGGUGUGCUAACUCAUGUGAUUUCCCCAAAUGCAGGAAACAUGACUGCAUAAUCUGGUGUAUUGGGGUAAAAUAAAUAAAUUUUAAAAAUUCUGUUUGCAUCUUA
Molecule: small nuclear RNA, 179 nt
Filed under: Salvator merianae (Argentine black and white tegu)
Lineage: Eukaryota; Metazoa; Chordata; Lepidosauria; Squamata; Teiidae
Description: U1 spliceosomal RNA (ENSSMRG00000009329.1)
Rfam family: U1 spliceosomal RNA
About the family: U1 is a small nuclear RNA (snRNA) component of the spliceosome (involved in pre-mRNA splicing). Its 5' end forms complementary base pairs with the 5' splice junction, thus defining the 5' donor site of an intron. There are significant differences in sequence and secondary structure between metazoan and yeast U1 snRNAs, the latter being much longer (568 nucleotides as compared to 164 nucleotides in human).
Source: RNAcentral